RNAcentral lists this ribosomal RNA (463 nucleotides) under uncultured Pelotomaculum sp. RNAcentral describes it as "bacterial SSU rRNA". It matches the Rfam family "Bacterial small subunit ribosomal RNA", at positions 920 to 1382 of the family's 1533-position model. Lineage: Bacteria; Bacillati; Bacillota; Clostridia; Eubacteriales; Desulfotomaculaceae. The record is from RNAcentral.
CCCGCACAAGCGGUGGAGCGUGUGGUUAAUUCGACGCAACGCGGAGAACCUUACCAGGGCUUGACAUCCCCUGACCGCGUAUGAAAGUACGUUUUCACCCUCGGGUGACAGGGAGACAGGUGGUGCAUGGUUGUCGUCAGCUCGUGUCGUGAGAUGUUGGGUUAAGUCCCGCAACGAGCGCAACCCCUACGUUUAGUUGCUAACGCGUGAAGGCGAGCACUCUAGACGAACUGCCGUUGACAAAACGGAGGAAGGUGGGAUGACGUCAAAUCAUCAUGCCCCUUAUGUUCUGGGCUACACACGUGCUACAAUGGCCGGUACAGACGGAGGCGAAGCCGCGAGGCGGAGCAAAUCCGAAAAAGCCGGUCUCAGUUCGGAUUGCAGGCUGCAAUUCGCCUGCAUGAAGUCGGAAUCGCUAGUAAUCGCAGGUCAGCAUACUGCGGUGAAUACGUUCCCGGGCCUU